Molecule: ribosomal RNA, 251 nt
Filed under: uncultured prokaryote
Description: partial 16S rRNA
Rfam family: Bacterial small subunit ribosomal RNA
Source: RNAcentral
ACGGGGGGUGCAAGCGUUAUUCGGAAUCACUGGGCGUAAAGCGCGUGUAGGCGGCUUAACAAGUCAGAUGUGAAAUCCCUGAGCUUAACUCAGGAAGUGCAUUUGAAACUGUCAGGCUAGAGUAAGGGAGAGGAAAGUGGAAUUCCUGGUGGAGAAGUGAAAUGCGUAGUUAUCAGGAGGAGCAUCGGUGGAGAAGGCGACUUUCUGGCCUUAUACUGAAGCUGAGACGCGAGAGCGUGGGUAGCAAGCAG